CAUCCCACUCUGAGAAUGAUUGAGAGUUACAAAUCCAACAUGUGAAGAAGUGCUCUGCUUUCUGACUGGCGUUUCACAAAAUGGGAAAAAGGACAAAAGGCAGACCCACACCACUCAACCAAGCUACUUUUCCUCCUUCUCCCUUCAAGAUCAGCGACGGUGACCAUUGUUCAGAGCCUACAUAAAGCCUUUCAACAAUACAACUUACUACAGUCAUUUUAAAAGAAAUCGUGGAGCAUAGGUGCUCCUCUGUCAGGAACUUCCGGGAGUCAAUUGCUGCAUUAACUGCAUUUGAUAGUAUGCAAAUCCCACCAUGGAUAUAUACGCAAUUACAAUUCCUAUGAGGUUAAUGAAGAAGCUGAAGAGACACUGGUUUUAAAUUGGAACAGGAAUGAAGGUAAAUAGCAAAGAUGUCACAGAAAGGAAAGAGCAUGCCAGGCCACCCCAUCACUGAGCAGGGUAUCACAGUGCAGAGACAAGUCCCGACACCAGAUCCCAGCGCUCUCUGCCAGCUGUCUGCCUGCAGGCAUCCUCCUGCCAGGAGCCAGAGUCAACCUGCCUGCCCUGCCCCACUGCUCCUGUGGCCCGGAAAAGAGGGAGGGUCAGCCCAGAGACAUUGCCUUCAAACACUAAGACUGUGAUGACUCGCACAGCUCCACCUGCCCUCAUAGGCGAGAAAAGCAUGCUCAACACAGGAUGCCUAAUGUGAGGCAUCCAUUUCUAAUCCGAACACUGUGCUUUACACUAGAAUUAGGCUUCUGAACAUCUAGUUCUAGAUGUAAGUACAAACUGAA
Molecule: long non-coding RNA, 794 nt
Filed under: Gallus gallus (chicken)
Lineage: Eukaryota; Metazoa; Chordata; Aves; Galliformes; Phasianidae
Description: lncRNA (ENSGALG00010011296.1)
Source: RNAcentral